AUUGAACGCUGGCGGCAGGCCUAACACAUGCAAGUCGAGCGGAUGAAGGGAGCUUGCUCCUGGAUUCAGCGGCGGACGGGUGAGUAAUGCCUAGGAAUCUGCCUGGCAGUGGGGGAUAACGUCCGGAAACGGGCGCUAAUACCGCAUACGUCCUGAGGGAGAAAGAGGGGGAUCUUCGGACCUCACGCUAUCAGAUGAGCCUAGGUCGGAUUAGCUAGUUGGUGGGGUAAAGGCCUACCAAGGCGACGAUCCGUAACUGGUCUGAGAGGAGGAUCAGUCACACUGGAACUGAGACACGGUCCAGACUCCUACGGGAGGCAGCAGUGGGGAAUAUUGGACAAUGGGCGAAAGCCUGAUCCAGCCAUGCCGCGUGUGUGAAGAAGGUCUUCGGAUUGUAAAGCACUUUAAGUUGGGAGGAAGGGCAGUAAGUUAAUACCUUGCUGUUUUGACGUUACCAACAGAAUAAGCACCGGCUAACUUCGUG
Molecule: ribosomal RNA, 484 nt
Filed under: uncultured bacterium
Lineage: Bacteria
Description: partial 16S ribosomal RNA
Rfam family: Bacterial small subunit ribosomal RNA
Source: RNAcentral